GCACGGCUGGGUCGGAUUGUGGGGCGCGGUGCUCGGGCUGCUGUUCGGCGUGACGGGCGUGCUGCUCAACCACCGUGCGCC
RNAcentral lists this transfer RNA (81 nucleotides) under Burkholderia lata. Its description in RNAcentral is "tRNA-Pro". The record is from RNAcentral. Lineage: Bacteria; Pseudomonadati; Pseudomonadota; Betaproteobacteria; Burkholderiales; Burkholderiaceae.